Molecule: long non-coding RNA, 5424 nt
Filed under: Homo sapiens (human)
Lineage: Eukaryota; Metazoa; Chordata; Mammalia; Primates; Hominidae
Description: HSALNT0133088
Source: RNAcentral
CCACCCACGCAUCCACCCAUCCAUGCAUCCAUCCAUCCCCUUGCUACACCAUGCAAUCAAUACUCAUUUACUAAUAUGGGACUGUGGGGAAUAUAAAACUGAGUACUAAAUAUAUCUGGGCAGCAUCUAACAGUACUCGUUCUGAUAACUAAUAUUUAUUGAACAGUACCAGAAAUAUAUUUUAAAAAAUGUUGAGUAGGGCCCAGAUCUGCUUUCAAGAAGAAGCUGCCCAGAUCUGCUGAGCAAGAACAGUGCUUCCGGGAACACCUGAGCUAAGGGCUCUCUGGCAGUUUCUUGUCCAGGGAAACCUUCAUAGAAAUGACAUUACGCUUGAGCCAUGGAUGAUGAUAAGGAUUCUGCCAGCCUGCCCAGAUGGCUGUCUGCCCACCUCAGCGGAAAAAGGCGUUGUGGCAUCAGUUCCUGCAGCGGCGCUACUGGGGCCACCAGAUGUGCUUCCUGCCAGCUAGAGCUCUCGGCUAAAACCCUCCUCUCCACUCUGCUCUUCACCCCAUGGAGUCCAGAAAGUUCUGCAUGUGAACGUGAGGGACACUGAGGACCAGUCCUGGGUAGCCAAGGAGGUCCAGCACUCGCAAUUCCCUGGUGGCAGAAGGAAAUCCAGCAGGCAUCCUAAGAAAAGAGAAGUUGCAAGUGCCCUUCUGCAAAGUGACCCGCCCCUGGUGGUGCCAGCCUCUCUCUGGUUAACCUGAGCCCGGGGGAGUGAAGAAGCCAAUCAGAAGACAGAGAGCUUGCUCGGAGGUGAUCCCUUAACCAAAAUCGGGGUAAGUGCCCAGGUGCCACCCCAUUCCAGGUGCCAGAGCUGGAACAUGCAGUUCCGGAGGCCAUGGUUGUGUGGUGCCUACCUUGCGUUCCAGGUCCCUUCUAUAUGGGGCCUCAGGCAGUGGAGGAAUGUACCCUGCCUGGGGGGCAUUUCACCUAUUUGCCCCACACCCUGGGCCUGUGUCCUUCUGUCCUGCACGGAACCUGUGUCCUUCCCCCACCCCUCCCCUACAUAAUGAGUCUCUUCUAUCACACAAUAACUCCUUGGUGGAAAUAAGCACACAGCCUGGGGUACACUGGGCAGGAGGAUGACGCAUGGGGGUCUCCUUCCCUCCUUCUGAAGCCCCAUGGCGAUCCUGUCCCACUCCUUAAACUAUCUGUAUCUCCACACUCUCCCUGUACUCCAUGAAGUCCCCUGAAGGGCAAAAGACAACUCUACUUGCUUUUCUAGAGGACAUGGGCCUUGGCAGGGACCUGGGUACAGCUCCUGCCAAAAGCACCGUGGGCAUCAGCCCCAGGUAAGGGAGCACUCAUGGACCAGCCCCAGGUAAGGGAGGACUCAUGGACCAAUCCAGGGAUAAAACGGAACACGAGUUUUAUAUCCUGGUGGGCGGGGGGGGGAAGGGGGCAGGUGUCAGCAGCGAUGGAAAUGUGAGGACACCAGGCCUGGAGCUUCAGUGACUUGGCCAAAGUCCCACGGCUGCCCUCGGUGUGCACUCAGGCUCUGGAACAUCAUGGCUCAUCACGUUUAACCUCCUGUUUCCAUCUGGGUGAUGAAAAGCUAAGGGGAGUUAACGCGCCGCUGCAGCUCAUUGUCAAAGCCAGCUUCAGGCAGAGAACGAAGGAGGGAGCGACUUCGGGGCUGGGUGAGCUGGAUUCUGUUCCUGCUCUGCCACCACCAUAAGCGGUCCCAGCUGUUACAACGCGGCUCUGCACCUCCACUUCCUCCUCUGUAAAAUGAGUGUCCUCGCCUCUGUCCUCGCUCCCUCUCAAGACUUCUGGGGGAGGGAUGACACGCUAUGAAAAUGCUGAACCUGGACUCAGGAUGCGGCGCAGGUGGAAUGGGGGGAGAAAUGCUCCCACGUGUGCACACACUCACCCAUCCAGACUUCGCCGAAUUGUCCAGACCCGAGUUUCCUGACCAGCCUGAGAGACUGCCGGGGGAUCUCCCAUUCAUCCUGGGCCCAGGGAUUCUGCGGGGCCGGGCGCACACAGGGCAGGGUUAAUGUUUUCCCGCAGGCAAGUGGUAGCAGAUGUCAAGGGUUAAGGACAAUUUAGGAGGUAAGAAUUUCCAGGCUGCACUUGUGUCGGGUGCCUCGGGCGAUGAGCCCAGGAGCCCGCUCUCCACGCAGUGACGCUUCCCAAGCUGGUGCUUUAGACCCCUCACUUGCCUGGCUGCUCUGAGGCCCCGUCCCUGAUGGCUUCUGACAAUUUGGUGUCCUUUGUAAAGACGACCUCAGAUCCUAUCAGCUUCAGUUUCACAAAACCUGGAUCCCCUGCCUCUGUGGUAUGUCUGGACUGCCCUGGGCAGGCAGGGCCUGGCUCUGAGAUGAAGAUUUCUCAGCACUGAAGGACCGCCUGCCUUUGAGCUGUGAAACUAGUCUAUCCUCACAUAGACACCAGUAAACUGAGGCUUGAGAGGCUCAAGGACACCCCGGAGGCCACGAAGGGUAGAACUCACUCCCCUGCUUCCAUCCCUGUCUUGCAUUCACUGCUGUGGCUCGGAGAAGCAGAGGGGUCUUGCUUUGGAGUUGUGUGUGUGUGUGCAUAUGUACGUGUAAGGUGUGUACAUGUGUUGCACACGUGUUCAUUGCAUCUGUGCAUAUGUGCACAUGUAUAUGUGUGCGUGUGUGUGUAUAUGUGCAUGCGUGGACAUGUGUAUGUGUUUGCAUGUGUAUGUGUGCACACAUGCCUGUGUAUGCACAUGUGUGUAUAUGUGUGCAUUUGUGCAUAUGUGCAUGUGUGUUCAUGUGUGCAUGUGUAUGUGCGUGUGGUGGUGAUGAUGGUUGAACAGUCCUGCAGCCCUGGUCCCAUAUGGCCUAUUCCCAGCUUGGACUGGCUUCCUGGGGUGGACAUGGACAGGAAAAGAUGCCAGACUCAUAGAGAACCCCUUCUUCCUCCACACCAGAUUGGGCAGGGGGUGGGGAGGCUUUCACCUUAGCAAUAGGCAAUGGUUGAAAUAUCAUUUCCAGGGUGACAUGACAUGAUGUUUGGGAUUUACUUCGAAAGAACAGGGGUGGAGCGGGAGAUACAGAUGAAACAAGACUGGCUCAGUUGAUAAUUGUUGAAGCUGGCUGUUGGGUACCAGGGGUUCCACUAAACUAUUUUCUCUACUUCUGUGUAUGUUUGAAAUGUCCUGGAACAACAAUAAAACACUUAUGUCAUCUCCAGUGAUUCCCAAAUUAUUUCUUGUACAGAGGUGCUCUGCCACAAAAAUGAAAUAGUGACAAUAUCCAAUAUGAAUAUAAAUAUAAAAUGCAUAUAUCUAUGUGUAUGUAUAUGUAUGUAUAUGCAUUCAUUGGCAUAUUCCAAGAAAUCCUGCACAGAGCACCCCAGCUUUCCAAUGCACCCUUCCUGCUCCCCAACCUGGUCCUGCCCCUUUGUGGGGCACCAAGGCCUCAUGAUGUCCCCAGAGAAUCACAGGGUGCUAUGACAGCUUUUCAUACUCUGGGUUUCCACUCUGGCUGCUGUUCUUGAGCCACAGAUGGAACCAAUGGACAGCCCAAGGGUGCUCCCACCAGGUGACAACUCUGUCCAUUCUCAUCGCCCCAACCACAGGGAACCAGACUCAUAUUCCAGACACUCUCUCUCCCUUUCCUCCUCUGAUGUCACUGUCACCAUCUCCUCUCCAGUUAAAAUUGGCUACAAGGCUGUACCUGGUCCCUGUGGACAGCUUCCUGAUGAGCAAAGCAUUCUUCAUACUGCCUGGGAAGCCCCUGGGUCACCCUAGCUUGCCACGUUGUAGAGCUUGGGAAGCCUCUCAGCCUCUUAGAUGAUGUGGUCACUGGUGCUUUGGGCUCUGAUGCUUACUGUUGGCCCCCAGCAAGUCACUUCCUGUUUCAGGGACUCCCUUUCCUCAUCUGUCAAGUGGAUUAGUAUCUUACAGACGAAAAGCUAGUGGCCAGUGAGCACCAGGGACCAUAAUAGGGUUCGGUGCAACACAUGCAUUAACAGCCCCAAACUGGAAACAACUCAAUGCCCACAACAUGAGAAUGGCUAACUUGACUCUGGAAUGGUCACACCCGGGAUUCUGUAUAGCAAUGAACAUGAACAGGCUCACCAUCCUCAACCACAUGAAUGAAUCUGUUACUGGUUGAAUCAUGUGCGCUCCCAAUUCAUAUGUUAAAGUCCUAACCCUCGGUCCUGAGAAUGUGGCUAUAUGUGGAGACAGAGCCUUUAAAGGGGUGAUUAAGUUAAAAUGAGGUCAUAUGGGUGGGCCCUAAUCCAAAUUGACAGGUGUCCUUACAAGAAGAGAUUAGGACACAGACAUGCAUGGAGGGACGGCCACGUGAGGACACAGAGAAGACGGCCAUCGGCAAGCCAAGGAGAGAGCUCCCGGGAGGAGCCAACGCUGCUGACACUUUGGUCGUGGACUUCCAGCCUCCAGAGCUGUGAGAUAAUAAGCUUCUGUGGUGGAAGCCACCCAGUCUGUGCCACUUUGUUACGGCAGCCCAGGAAACUAACAUAGAAUCCCACAAACACUGCUGAGUGACAGAAGCAAGACACACAGAAACAAAAACAGUGAUUCUAUCUACAUCAAGCUGAAAAAACAGACAAGACAUGGUGGCGAAACCACAGAGAAGAGCAAGGAAGGAUUUCCAUCCAAGUCAGGACAGCAGGUAGCUCUUGAGGGUGGGGGUUGAAUCAGGAAGGAGCCCAAGUGGGGGAGUGAGGGGGCUCCUGGUGGUCUGGGAUGCUCUUUCUCUUGGCUGUCAUUACACAGGGAUUUGUUUAUUAUUACCCUAUAUGAUUUAGAAUUACACAUUCAUACUUCAUGCAAGCUUUAUAUGUGUUUUAUAUUUUACACCAAAAAAAUUAAGAAGGAAAGAAAGCCAAAUGACAGAGAAAGAGAGAAAACCCCUGAGGGUGAUGGCAGCUGUUUUGCUCAGUCAGUGGAUUUGAACUCAUGAGUGUCUAGACUGGCAUGGGCUCCCCUCAAUUACCACCCUCUUCUCUUACAUCACGGCACAGGCCACUUCCUAACAUAUGCUACCUGCAGCCUCUGGCUGAGAUGAUCUUGAAGGAUUCUUUGAGCUCCCCCUAAUCCUUGAUUCCAAAGAGGCUGGUGGUUAAGGGCUCAGGGUUCCCCCUUCCCUGGCCCCCACUGGCCUCGGUGUUCCUGCUGACUGGGCAGCAGGGCCAGUCUGGCGUGGGACCACCCCUGUCCACCCGGCUUCCUGUGCCCAGGUGGUUUCCAGCCGGGACAGGGAGGACUGUGUGGACAGCCCCCAUGUCAACUCCCGGGCAGGGCCUGAAUUGGGAGGGACACAAGCCCGGAAGCUGCUGGUUCUCCUGGCAGUCACCCCUUCCCCUCUCACUCCAGGGCCAGGCCUCUGGAGGCGCCUUCCCGGGAGGAGCAGGGCAAGGAAGGCAGGCAAAGCCACCAAGCCUACCUUUGUUGGUUUCACUCUCUCUGAUAAGAAAGGA